Molecule: ribosomal RNA, 2928 nt
Filed under: Salmonella enterica
Lineage: Bacteria; Pseudomonadati; Pseudomonadota; Gammaproteobacteria; Enterobacterales; Enterobacteriaceae
Also listed under: 3 other names
Description: bacterial LSU rRNA
Rfam family: Bacterial large subunit ribosomal RNA
Source: RNAcentral
GGGUUGUGAGGUUAAGCGACUAAGCGUACACGGUGGAUGCCCUGGCAGUCAGAGGCGAUGAAGGACGUGCUAAUCUGCGAUAAGCGCCGGUAAGGUGAUAUGAACCGUUAUAACCGGCGAUUUCCGAAUGGGGAAACCCAGUGUGUUUCGACACACUAUCAUUACGUGAAUACAUAGCGUAAUGAAGCGAACCGGGGGAACUGAAACAUCUAAGUACCCCGAGGAAAAGAAAUCAACCGAGAUUCCCCCAGUAGCGGCGAGCGAACGGGGAGGAGCCCAGAGCCUGAAUCAGCAUGUGUGUUAGUGGAAGCGUCUGGAAAGGCGCGCGAUACAGGGUGACAGCCCCGUACACAAAAGCGCAUGUGCUGUGAGCUCGAUGAGUAGGGCGGGACACGUGGUAUCCUGUCUGAAUAUGGGGGGACCAUCCUCCAAGGCUAAAUACUCCUGACUGACCGAUAGUGAACCAGUACCGUGAGGGAAAGGCGAAAAGAACCCCGGCGAGGGGAGUGAAAAAGAACCUGAAACCGUGUACGUACAAGCAGUGGGAGCACAGGUUUACCUGUGUGACUGCGUACCUUUUGUAUAAUGGGUCAGCGACUUAUAUUCUGUAGCAAGGUUAACCGAAUAGGGGAGCCGGAGGGAAACCGAGUCUUAACCGGGCGUUAAGUUGCAGGGUAUAGACCCGAAACCCGGUGAUCUAGCCAUGGGCAGGUUGAAGGUUGGGUAACACUAACUGGAGGACCGAACCGACUAAUGUUGAAAAAUUAGCGGAUGACCUGUGGCUGGGGGUGAAAGGCCAAUCAAACCGGGAGAUAGCUGGUUCUCCCCGAAAGCUAUUUAGGUAGCGCCUCGUGAAUUCAUCUCCGGGGGUAGAGCACUGUUUCGGCUAGGGGGCCAUCCCGGCUUACCAACCCGAUGCAAACUGCGAAUACCGGAGAAUGUUAUCACGGGAGACACACGGCGGGUGCUAACGUCCGUCGUGAAGAGGGAAACAACCCAGACCGCCAGCUAAGGUCCCAAAGUCAUGGUUAAGUGGGAAACGAUGUGGGAAGGCCCAGACAGCCAGGAUGUUGGCUUAGAAGCAGCCAUCAUUUAAAGAAAGCGUAAUAGCUCACUGGUCGAGUCGGCCUGCGCGGAAGAUGUAACGGGGCUAAACCAUGCACCGAAGCUGCGGCAGCGACACUGUGUGUUGUUGGGUAGGGGAGCGUUCUGUAAGCCUGUGAAGGUGGCCUGUGAGGGUUGCUGGAGGUAUCAGAAGUGCGAAUGCUGACAUAAGUAACGAUAAAGCGGGUGAAAAGCCCGCUCGCCGGAAGACCAAGGGUUCCUGUCCAACGUUAAUCGGGGCAGGGUGAGUCGACCCCUAAGGCGAGGCCGAAAGGCGUAGUCGAUGGGAAACGGGUUAAUAUUCCCGUACUUGGUGUUACUGCGAAGGGGGGACGGAGAAGGCUAUGUUGGCCGGGCGACGGUUGUCCCGGUUUAAGCGUGUAGGUGUGUGUUCCAGGUAAAUCCGGUUCACUUUAACACUGAGGCGUGACGACGAGGCACUACGGUGCUGAAGCAACAAAUGCCCUGCUUCCAGGAAAAGCCUCUAAGCAUCAGGUAACAUCAAAUCGUACCCCAAACCGACACAGGUGGUCAGGUAGAGAAUACCAAGGCGCUUGAGAGAACUCGGGUGAAGGAACUAGGCAAAAUGGUGCCGUAACUUCGGGAGAAGGCACGCUGACACGUAGGUGAAGUGAUUUACUCAUGGAGCUGAAGUCAGUCGAAGAUACCAGCUGGCUGCAACUGUUUAUUAAAAACACAGCACUGUGCAAACACGAAAGUGGACGUAUACGGUGUGACGCCUGCCCGGUGCCGGAAGGUUAAUUGAUGGGGUCAGCGCAAGCGAAGCUCCUGAUCGAAGCCCCGGUAAACGGCGGCCGUAACUAUAACGGUCCUAAGGUAGCGAAAUUCCUUGUCGGGUAAGUUCCGACCUGCACGAAUGGCGUAAUGAUGGCCAGGCUGUCUCCACCCGAGACUCAGUGAAAUUGAACUCGCUGUGAAGAUGCAGUGUACCCGCGGCAAGACGGAAAGACCCCGUGAACCUUUACUAUAGCUUGACACUGAACAUUGAGCCUUGAUGUGUAGGAUAGGUGGGAGGCUUUGAAGUGUGGACGCCAGUCUGCAUGGAGCCGACCUUGAAAUACCACCCUUUAAUGUUUGAUGUUCUAACGUGGACCCGUUACCCGGGUUGCGGACAGUGUCUGGUGGGUAGUUUGACUGGGGCGGUCUCCUCCUAAAGAGUAACGGAGGAGCACGAAGGUUGGCUAAUCCUGGUCGGACAUCAGGAGGUUAGUGCAAUGGCAUAAGCCAGCUUGACUGCGAGCGUGACGGCGCGAGCAGGUGCGAAAGCAGGUCAUAGUGAUCCGGUGGUUCUGAAUGGAAGGGCCAUCGCUCAACGGAUAAAAGGUACUCCGGGGAUAACAGGCUGAUACCGCCCAAGAGUUCAUAUCGACGGCGGUGUUUGGCACCUCGAUGUCGGCUCAUCACAUCCUGGGGCUGAAGUAGGUCCCAAGGGUAUGGCUGUUCGCCAUUUAAAGUGGUACGCGAGCUGGGUUUAGAACGUCGUGAGACAGUUCGGUCCCUAUCUGCCGUGGGCGCUGGAGAAUUGAGGGGGGCUGCUCCUAGUACGAGAGGACCGGAGUGGACGCAUCACUGGUGUUCGGGUUGUCAUGCCAAUGGCACUGCCCGGUAGCUAAAUGCGGAAGAGAUAAGUGCUGAAAGCAUCUAAGCACGAAACUUGCCCCGAGAUGAGUUCUCCCUGAGACUUUAAGUCUCCUGAAGGAACGUUGAAGACGACGACGUUGAUAGGCCGGGUGUGUAAGCGCAGCGAUGCGUUGAGCUAACCGGUACUAAUGAACCGUGAGGCUUAACCUUACAACGCCGAAG